UGUAUUAACAUAUAUUACUUGUAUUAUUAAUAUAUAACAUAUACAUUACAAAUUUUGUGUGUAAAAUGAACCACAACAGCAUUUCUGAUUCCUCCUCUUAUUGGAUGUCAGUUAUUAGUUUCACCAACUACACAUGCUAUAUCCUGAAAAAAAAAUUGAUUUUAAAUGAAAUAAUGCCAUUUAUAGAAUGCAUAUUGAAUAUCUCUAUGACAUGUUUUUAUCAAAUGUUUUUUAAAGUCAGUACUCAGUUACCUUAUACUUCCUCUGAGACUAGUGUGGAAUUAGCUACAUAUGCCACCAUUUGGGAAAUAUUGGGAGAGAGAAGGAAAAACAAAAGAGAAACAAGCACUUGCAUGUUGGUUUGGUAUACUGGGUGCCUAACUGGCAAUCUCACAGUGUCAUUUCUCCCUAGCAUCUCCAGGGUUAUGAGGGUUGGGAAGAAUUGUUUGUUUUGCAAUAAAAUUAGAAUGAAAAAUUCCACUUUGUAAACUAGGUCAAAAAAUUAAAAGGAGAGAAUGUAUGUAAAGUCAGAAUGUAUGCAUGUAAGCAUCUAAAGAGAAUAAAGUAAGUCAUGUGAGAAUUUAUGUGUACAUUGCCUGGGAAAAACAAAUAUCAAAAAACCCAGAAUAUUAUUCCCAGAAGCCAGAUGGCUUAAUGCCUUUGAGGUUAUAUGGUCUGGGCUCCAACCCGAGGUCUAUGACUUGCCAGCUGUAUUGUCUACAGAUUGAGUUAUUCUUUUUACUCUUUAUUUUCAUUUGUUAACAAUCUGCCUAGCUCUCAGUACUAUGGUAAUGACUAAAUGAUUAUAUAUACUCUCAUAUAUAUGGGUAGAGAGCAACAAUAUAAUGAAGACACGAUCAAGGAGACAGGAGACUAAGAAGAAGACACUGAUAAAGCAGAAAAGACCAUAUGAAGUUGGAGCCAUGUGAAGUGUUGCAGCCACAAGCCUUGGAACACCCGGAGCCACCAGAAGCUGGAACAGACAAGGAAACAUUCUCAUUUCGAGCCUUUGGAGGGAACACGUCCCCUCCGACAUCUUGAUUUCAGACUUCUGAUCUUUAGACUGGAAGAGAAUGAAUUUCUGUUCUUUGAAGCCUCCUGAUUUGUAGCAAUUUGUCACAGGAGACUCAGGAAAGUCGUACAGGCUGCCAGGAAAUUAACUCCAUAAAAUAACUUCUCUAAAUCAA
Molecule: long non-coding RNA, 1187 nt
Organism: Felis catus (domestic cat)
Lineage: Eukaryota; Metazoa; Chordata; Mammalia; Carnivora; Felidae
Exons: 2
Source: RefSeq, a predicted model, not a curated record